Molecule: long non-coding RNA, 11304 nt
Filed under: Hordeum vulgare
Lineage: Eukaryota; Viridiplantae; Streptophyta; Magnoliopsida; Poales; Poaceae
Description: long non-coding RNA (HVUL_LNC010179)
Source: RNAcentral
UAACAUCUUGCUUGCCGUUGAUCUGAAACCCUGGAAAAAGAUCCAGAUGUCGCGGGAAGAAGUGCCGCGACACAACACAUAAGUGAUAGAAAUUCUAGAUGAAAGUUUAGAGUAGAUAGACUAUUUCCCUUUAUAGAUCCCGAUCUUUGUUUGAGAAACCUGCGUGCAGAAGGAACCUUGCUAGGAUUAGUGCACCUUGUUUCUGUUUCGAACUCGUUCAACGACCUGAACGGCCACAGAUUGCCUUCACACUGUUUCGAACUUGCUCAACAGACCAAGCGGUUAUGCAACGCCUUAUUUCGCCUCCAGCCACGCUCGACGAUUUAAGCGUUGCACUGAGUGCGGCAAGGAGUCUUGCCGGUAAUGACCCCUCUGAUGAACAGCUAAGGAUUCGUUCCUCAAAGCACUAGAAGUAGGACCAGUCAUGCCGACAAGUUUCCGGAAAAUGCAAAGGGUCUAUCAUACAAAGAGGGGGAUCAGACAAAAGGGAAAACAACAUUUCAUUCACUUGUGUGAGGCAAGCUCAGACAUAUUACAUGGAUGAUUUUUACUACUCUAACCCUAUGAUACUGUCUCUUGGUGAGGGACAAUGCUUGCCGGACAGGAGUUCAAGAAGACAAAAAGCGGCAAGGCCCCCGGCGCAACCCAAGCUGGCUCCUCCCGGACCAACACUGCACGAAGGAGAACGUGGCCAGAAGGGACGACAGAGCUGGGAACCAGGCGAUGCCAGCAGCAUGCGGCAGCGUCGGUUCUUCCGGCUCGUCGGUCCCAACUCGGAAGGAGGAGAGACGCGGACUGACCGUGAUGGUGCGACCGAUGGUCAGUCCAAGGUCAGGUCCUCGCACCUAGCCUUAGCCUGCCGAGGAUCUGACCCAUACUCGUUGUCGCUCCCGCCUGUCCCGUCCUCGUCGCCCUCGCGCGAGGAAGGGCUUUCAGUCCCGCUCGAGAUCUCUUCGCAGCAACUGAAGCGCACACCUGAGCUCCCGUAUAUCUUGACGGAGAGCAGUUUGUCCGCCGUCAUCUGGAAGCGAAGAACGUGCCUGUCCUAGAGAUUAUGGGCACGAGCGAAGCUCUUCCACCCACGACCAAGGAACAGGAGCUGGGGCUCCGGUUGCUCCACGACCACCGGUGUAUGGCGCCGUUGCUACAGCCAUGCACCCGAAGCCACAACAUUGGGAGCUUCUCUUCGCUCAUCACCUUGGCGAAAGUGAUGGGGAGUUGAAGCCGGGUUCCGAUGCGGCCUUGCAGUUUGGCAAGCAACUCUAACGGAGUCCUUUCAACAUGAGUCUUCGCGGGAACAAGCCUGGGAGAAGACGGGGGUGCUGGAGUAGCAGCCUGCCUUCCCCCGCCAUGGCCUCCGCAGCGACCGCGACCCCUCGCCCCUCCGCCACCUUGGGCGCUCGGUCCACCCUCCGCAACUGCGGCCCCUGAAGCCGUGGCAUGAUCCGAACGGGAUCCUCUCGCCGCCCUGGCGGCUGAUGGUGGACGCCCUCAUCCCCUAGCCAUGGUUAGGGGCAAGCGCCACCUGAAGCUAAGAAAUAUACUGCAGAAACAAGCUAGGUGUGCUGAGCGUUUUGGGAGUUGGAUGGAUGAGCAAACCCCCCUCGCAAACCCCGUAAUUUAUAGGUCGACGCGCGGGGGCUAGCCCUCCUCGCUCGAGGAACUGCCGCCCCUCUCGCCCAAUCACCCAUGAUCAAGGGCGAACUGGGGGCCGCGCUGCUGCACCAAUGCAUGUGGGGGCGGGCCCUUCCACGACUGCAACCUUUAAGGACACGAUCGUCACUUGCCUAACCAUUACUGGGCAUGCCUCAGGUGUGGCAGUAGUGCUUCGAGAGGUGGGAAGGCCACUGUGCGCACACCUCUCCACCUCUCGUGCUCAAUGCGCGACGUGGGGAAAGACCACUUGCAACGGCUCCAAACUACCGAUUACCCUGUAAUAGAAGGCCGUGCACAACUUUGGGCCUGACCCAACGACGCCUCGCGCUCGUGGGUGGCCUAGUCCCGGGGGCUCCUGUCGGUGCACUGAAGACUAGGGUCUCGUGUGCCCCAGACUUGUGCACGGGCACCAGCAACACCCUUGGCGGUAGUACGCGAAGAAGGCUGGCGGGGAAAGAUAACCCAAGCUCACCAAGGCCACACCCCUCCAAGGGCGUGAAGAACAAACCCAAGCCACAAGGCCCCGACAAGCCCUCCUUGCCGGGAAGAACCACAAGGCCACGGCAAGCCCUCCUUGUCGGGAAGACACGCAAGGCCCUCGGCAAGCCCUCCUUGCCGGGAAGACGUCCAAGGCCCCAGAAAGCCCUCCUUGUCGGGAAGACGGGUUAGGCCACCGGCAAGGACGCCAGGUCGGCAAGGUCGCUUCGCCCGCCAUGUGUCCUUCCUACCACAAUACCACCAACUGCCCGUAACACCCUGUUUUUACUACCACUUCUGUGUAAUGCAAAAAUCUGAGCUUGUUAAAACUUUUUCAAAACUAAUGAUGUGAGUGCCAUGUUUGUCAUUGAAUGACUUGUGUGAUGAUCAUGUGAUGAUAAAACCCCAUUUCACAAUAUUGAAUUAUUUUCAAAACCUUCUUCUUGUUUCUGAUCACGGUAAAACCCUACUUUGAGUUGCAUUACUUGCCCUUGAUGGCAAGAUUGGUUUCUACCCAAAGUUGGUGAUCUGAUUUUAACUUAUUUUUAUAUCCCAAAACCACAAAAUAAUUAUUUUUAGAAUUGUUUUCUAAAUUUAUUUACAAGUCCAUUUCUGACGCCAGAAAUGGUAUUCCUACAUGGAAAAAUACUCUUAUGCCUUAGAAAAAUCUGAUUAAAUUUGGAGAUGAUGAGAAGGACAUAUAUUUUCCAUACAUAGGAUGUUACACCCCUAUUUUUAUUAUAAUUAUUUGAGUAAAACCCUGAAAACCAUUUUUGUCUGUUUUGACCUUUUGAAAUAUUUCCAAAUGAAAUAUUCUCAAUAAAAUUCUAGAAAAUUCCAAGGGUAUCCCUAAGCCAUAUUUGAUGUCCACAUAAAGUAUCACUUUGAUCCAAGGUGAUUAAGGACCCCAAAUAACCCAAAAACCCCUUCUGUCCAGAUUGGAGUUAGAGCAACUCUACAUUGCAACGUUUGUCCAUUGAUGCUGAAACUUUGUAGGAGUGCCUAAUACCUCAAAUGAGGGUUCCACACCAAAAAUGGGAUUUGUGGGACUUAGUUUGCCCACACUGUCUUUGGAAGAAACAUAUCUUGUCAAAUAGUGGCGUUUUCAAGUUUACAAAGCUAAACUUGUCCAAUGGAUCUCAAACUUGGUGAAACCCCAUGUUUUAGUACCAAACCCAAACCUGUUAAGUUGCAGCACCAGUGGUGGGGUGCAACCCCCUCAAACCACUGUUGAGUACCUUUUGACAGAUGGGAAAAAGCCCUCUUAGCCACAGCUAAACCCAACCCCUUUGCUCUGAACUCAUAGAUUAGGUGGCCAGUAUCAAUUCCCAACCACAGUCAACUGGCCCCUCACUGGUUCAAAGUGGAAAUGCCAAAAACCCCAAUCUAAGCUCCAGUUCAAGGCUGACAACACCACUAUUCCUUGUCUCCCUUGACUAGGCAAAGCUCCCACGAGACCCAAACGGCUAGCCUCACUCCCAACCAGUUCCAGGAUUUGCUAGACACGUCCAAAGUGCCUCAGAGCGCACCAGCAUGUCGUGGCAUGCCAAAACUGCGCUCUGGGCGCGCUAUAGGAAACCACCGAGGUGGGGGCGCGCUCUCGGCCAGUUCCAGCCUCCCCCGAGGUGUCUAACCUCUUCCCCGACAACCCCUAUGUGUUGAGCAACCCUCAGGGCCCCUCCUCUCCCGCGCUAGAGCUCGUGCGACGCGUGCCUGCGCACACCAGAACCGGCCAAGGUUGCGCGACCACGGAUGCUCAAUUACUCUCUCUCCCUCUAUUGCAGAUGGUUUUGGCAGUCCAAAACCACAUCCUGAGACCGUGGUUUCGACCCCAGCUCCUCCCUGCACCCCCAUGCACGCUGCGGUGAGUCAUCGGCGCUCCCGAAUCGGCUCACCGUCGCGAGCCUAUUUAUAGCCCCCUAGCUCCUGCACCCCUCAGAUAUCUUCACCACGACCACUAGACCUCCCUAGCCACCCCAGCAAACCAGCACAGCCCCGGUGCUCGAGAUCGACCGAGGCCCCUCCGCCUCGGAGCUCUGGUUGAUCUCCGGCUACAUGAUGGCUCUUGCGUCCCUCGACCCACCAAACUGAUCCCCUUGACCCCAGGAAGCUUUCCCCCAACUUCCCCGAGCAUUUCCGUGCCCCUAGCUGCCUCCUCGACAACCUCCUGAAACUCCUCCGUCGCGGCCUCCUCGUGAACCCUUGCCCCUCCGACGUUGUUCCAACCACCAGCAAGUAGGCGACAUCAUGCCGAGCCCAUUUCUGUCCUCGUUGGGGCUUGAGAACGUCGGCAGCCUCAUUGGCGUGCUCCUCCUCCUCUCUGGCUAGAGGUAGGAGACGAUCCCGACAGGUGUGCCCCACCUAUCGGUGGCCCAGCUCCCUCCCCCGCGCUACCGGUAGCCGCUGACCGCAGGGCCCCGCACGUCAGGUUCAAACCUGACGGCGCGGGCGCUUGGGAAGGUUGUCGGCUGGCCUCGGGCCGGCCCAGUUCUAGGCCGAGCCAGGCCACGGACUUAGCCCAUUUUUUCUUUUAUUUUUAAAAUCUGAGUUGUAAGAUUUUUGUAAAAACAUUUAACCAGUGUAAGAAUAUAUAUUUUCCACUGUUAUUCUUCUAAAAAUAUAUAGUAUUUAAUAAGACCUUGAGAUGAAUUUUUCAAACAACUAUUUGGUUUUGCAAUAAUAAAAAGGACUACAUUGGAAUAGUUUUGCUUCUAUUUGGUUGAUUUUAAAAAUGUGCCUUCAUUAGAAAUAGAGGCAAAUAUUUUUCAAAAUAACAACUUAGAUUUAUCAGUAAUAAAGGACAUUUUUAAAAUAACUUUGUGAUCUGUUUUUGAGUGAGCUAUUUCUUAUAUAUUCUUUUGAGGACGAUAGAAAAUCCGUGUGACGAGGGAAUUGGAGCGGAAGACCUCGAAGACCCCGGAUACCUAGCUGACCAAGGCAAGCAACCCUUUGACCAUGACUGAGCAUAUGUUAUAAUUGCAUGUUAUAAUAGCGAGUAUUUCCGUUGCAUACGAUCAUAAGUGCCAGUAAAUCAUUUGGUGUGAUGUUACCGAUGGCUCCUCCGGAGCACAUGCAUUGAGCUUGAUCCUACCCCUUUUGAGGAUCAUGCUAGUAUCAUGUUGACAAGUAAUAUCGGAAAAGUAUUACAUUAGCAUGUUGAUAACAUAAAUCAAAGUUCAUGAAAACCCCGUCAGGUGCCACUAAUGCCCGAGGGUGAUGAAGAGGUAGGUGGCCACUUUUGGUGAAGGGGUGUACCGGGUAUUUUGAGUGAGUAUGGUUUCGGAAAUAGGAUUAGAUUUAUGAUGUGUUGACUGCCCCAACCUUACCAGUACGACCACGUUACCCCUUAUGGGACGGGGCUAUGUUGAUUACUCUGGUCAGUACUAGCAAAGAUCCACAUUACUAGUGGCGGGAGUGAUGUGUGGUCAAUCUCGUGAUGGGGUCGUGCCAGGUAGGAUGACUAUGCAAUUUUUAUGAGUUCCAGGCACAUCGUUGGUCCCCGCAUGGUUGAUACUGUCCAGAGUCGGUGCUCGUAAUACGCACAACGUGUGGGCUGGGUACCAAUCGAGUGGACCUCUUUGUCUAGUAUCGUCAGGGGAAAGGCAUUGAUCGGGUACUUACCUCGGGUAUGUUAUAUACCGUGAGUCGUGGAUGACACGGAAGUUCCUCGGAUCUCGUGGGUCCAUCGUACUACCUCUGCAGAGUGUAAAACUUUUCGAAUAGCCGUGUCCAAGGUCAAGGACAGUUGGGUAAUCCUGGUAAAACUACGGCCAGUUGUUUCCGCAUAAACCAAGUGUGUGAGUGGUGAGAAAAAGGUGUUGUUAUGGAAGUAAUGAUAUGACCAAGUUUGGUGAGUUGGCAUAUAGGGUGAGCCUGGAUCGUUCAGACCUCGACAGAUAUAUUGAUAUCUGUAACCUGUUCUUCACAAGUAAUUCUUUAACUUGAUGCAUAUUCAUGAUCAUUCCACCAAGAUGAAUUCCACCAAAGAUACAUGUUUUGUUAUCCUUCACUUUCAUUGUUCAUAUCAUGGACUGUUUGCGAGUACAUUCAAAAGUACCCAUUGGCUUUCCACUGGUUAUAUUAUUGACCAGAUAUGGAAGGACCGGAGUUUGGCGUUGAGUACGUCUUCGGAGACGCCCCUGCGAACUAGGACGAUUCCGUGUCAGAAUGCCUGUCGGUGUAGGCUUGAUGGCUUGGGCACCAGCUUAGCCCCUAUGAUUUCCGCUAUUAGUUGUAUCAGUAUGAUUUGGCCUUAGGCCCAACCUUGUGAACCUGACCUUUCGGUCAUGUGAUGUUAUAAUUCGGUACUCGGAUGUAAGACUCUUAUUAUUCAGUAUCUGUGUGUUCGGUGAGCAUUGAUCUCUGGGAUCACUGAGCACGAUCAUUUGGCGAUCUCGACUUGUAAGUCGGGGUCCCCACACUGCCACCGCUCCAGCGCAUCCCUCAUGCGCCAGCACAAAGCCCAGCUAUCAAAACACCUGGGUACGUGUCGAUGCCACCUUGAUGCAAGUCAAGGUGGUAUGACAAGGCAUUUAGUGCCCCUUACACUGCGGUAGAUAGAUAGUGAUGAACCCACUACGAAGCACUAUUGGUGACUCCUUUGCCUAUAAAAGGAGGCCCAAAGCUCAGUUCUAGGGGUUGGACCUUUUGGGGUUUUUAGAAUCUUUGAUCACCAUCCGAAAGGCCAUUAUUGUAGCAAGUGACCCUAGAGUAAGCACCCAAUACAACAAACAAAGCAGGAGUAGGGUUUUACGUGCUAAGCAGCCCGAACCUGGGUAAAAGACCUUGCUAGUGCUGACCGUUUGUUCUACUCUUGGCGCCACCUCUCUCCCUCCGCCGAACGAUAAAGGGAUCCUUGGGGGUUCCCAUAGGUGUCAUUUUCGCGACACCCUCUAUGUCGAACAAUGUACCAGAAAUGGCCUAUCUGGUAUUCUUUUCAACGUGCAUCAUGUCAAUGUUGUGUGGGCGAAGGAGGUCUUCGAAGUAAGGCGGAUCCCACAAGCAUGUCUUGUGAGUCCAGGUGUGUUCUAAAUUAUACCCCUUGAAAUACCCUGGACGUUCUGGAUCAGUAUCAAGAUCAUUUAAUUGAUCCAAGAUGUGUUGGUUGUCAACGCACGUGGUGCCGAGUUUUUGACAACUGUACCUUUGCUAUAGUGUUUCUUUUUUUUCUGAACUCAUGGAGAGGAUCCAGGAACUGUAUAUUCAAGUCGAAGCUAGAAUACUUCCGACCUGCGUGCAGCCAAUGAAACUAAAGAGCUUCCUUGCAUGUUGGGCAUGGGAACCUUCCAUGCACACACCAGCCAGUGAAUAGCGCAUACGCCGGCAAGUCAUGCAUCAAGUAAAUGUACCAGACAUGCAUUUUGAAGUUUUCUUUUCUAGCGUCAGCGUAUGUCUUGAACCCAUUAUCCCAAGCUUCUUGCAACUCAUUCUUAAGUGGCUGCAUGUACACAUUCAUAUUCCUCCAUGGCUAGUUGGGCCGUGGAAUAAUCAAUGUCAGGAAUAUGUUAUUUCUUUGCAUAAUCUGUCCGGGGAGGAGAUUGAGUGGAAUGACAAAUACAUGCCAACUACUGUAUUGGGUUGUUGUCAUAUCAAAGGGAUUGAACCUAUCCGGGGCGACGCAGACUCGAGGAUGCCUUGGAUCUGCCGCUUUAUCCAGAUGUAAUGCAUCGAAGUGCUUCCAUGCAAAAGCAUCUGAUGUGUGUACCAACAUCUUAUUCCUAUCUGCAUCUAGUUCUGUUCUUUUGCACAAUUUGUUCCAUGUCAUCUGUUUGGCCGCCGCUUCAACCAUGGUAAGACGUUGAAGCCUUUGUAUGAUUGGCAUGUACCGAAGAACAUUAAUAGGGAUUUUGGUCUGUAUCUUCUGACCAUACCAUUGUCUACCACAACAUACCUGAAAGACUAGCAAAUGGGGCAAUAGUUCAACCCCGCAUACUCAAGCCUAAAUAAGGUACAUCCUUUCUCACAUUCAUCUAUCUUAUCAUAGGUCAUCUUAAUUACACGGAGUAUUUUUUCCGACUGGUAUAGGUUUGCAGGCAUGACAUGGCCUUUGGGUAUAAAGCGUCCAAAUAGUGUCAUCAUUGUGUCAUAGCAUUCUCUGCCCAAGUUGAUUUGAGCCUUCAGAGCCAUUACUUGUGUGAUGGCAUCCAGCUGACAAAGCAUAGUGUGCUUGCGGAGAGGACGUUUUGAAGACUCCAAUAAUUCAUAGAAGGCCUUUGCAGAUUCCUCCAUCUCAUUGUCCGAAUCCCUACCAUCAUCAAAGUCUUCCACCAUGUCUUCGAUCCUCGUACCAUGCUCAUCGGUGUGACUCUCCACGUCAACUAUGGUACGUUGGGAAAACUCACCAUGAAAUGUCCACACUGUAUAAUCAGACGUAAAACCACUCUUCUGCAGGUCUUUACUCAUUUCAUCCUCUGCCAUCUGUUUAAAGUUGUUGAUCCGACACACGGGCAACGGGUUUUUAUCCGGCCAUUUGGAAAUGCGGCUUUGACAAAUCCCUUGUCUUUGUUAACAGUUAUUUGCUCAUUUCUUUCUGACUAGUGUGACUGGUGUGCAUCGACGCGCGAUCACCCAUGAUGAUACUUGCACUCACACUAGUUGCACCAUAACCAUAUUCAUCAAGUUAUGUAGAUGUAAUUGCGACUAGAUACAUAACUAAUUACUUUUGUUACAUUUUUUAUGCCAUAGUUUUAUUUUUUAUCAUACAAAAGGGAAACGGGAUUGAAUCUAUCUCUAAUAGGUAAAAAUGGGUCCUAAUCCCACCCGAAUAUGUGUAGAUCGGGUUCGUUUCCCAUGGUCUGCUCAUGAUUCGAAGCAAAAUUCCAGCAGCACCUCCGUGCAGUUCUCUAGAUACACAUCUCGGAAACAAGCAAAGACAAUGUGUAGCCGAAGAACAACAGAGUGGCGCUGACGAAAUUUUGCCUCAGACCAAAGUAGGGCAGGAGAAACGAAACCCAAUCUACGUGGCUGUCCAUGGAUAACACAGACAAUUCGAAAGGAUGGCGGUUAUAAAUAUGCAAAGACAUGCAUAUUUAGAGAUGAAUCCCUUUCGAACAUGAGAUGCCUAGUUUACGAGACUUGACAUGCAAGUAAAAUAUAGUGGCAUCGGCACGAUGACUGAAAUAGAGCAAAUAUGGGACGGGGAGGAGAUGAUAGCCGAGCUCACACCUAGACCGUAGAGGCGAUAGUCGACCAACAAUGACAACAUCACCAGGAUCGAUGGUACUCCUCGAGGUGAAGAGAAGAUCCAUGCACAUGAAAAACGCCAGCACGACCAACAUAAGCACCAUUUUUCUGUAUUUACCUGCUCAUUUCAAUAAUAUUGUAAUCAACUAUAAAAAAAAUGUGUGAAUCAAUACUGGUACUUGAGCAUACUACUAAAGCAAAGAAUGGAGAUAAUUUUUCAACAAGUUUUGUUUAUUAUAUCAUGGAUCAUACUAUUACCUUGUACUUGAAUUGCACGACAAGCUAAAUGCCCAAAAUGAUGAUUCUAUUCUAUCCCACAAGGUGACCGAUGAAGACAUAGUUUUUUAGGACUAUGCGUUCUCAAAUUACUUUCCCCGUGCUUUGGCCAUGCCAAUCUGUACUAUGUUAUUUAUUUGCCUUCUCAAAAUAACACAGAGCCUUUGAUUGCCCCCCUAUAAAUUUGUAUGUCAUGACCAGGGGAUUUAUAAAAAAUAUAGCUAUGACCAAGGAGCUAGUUGUUCACAGUUCAUACAAUCACGAGCAGGUUGUUGUAGUGUGCUAAUGCCAUUUGUUUCAGGAUUACGAUGUCCACGCAUGCAUGUCAUCAAAGGUGUACAAGGAUGCUAAACCAUUUGUAACAUAACAUAUAUGAAAUCAUUAAGUUGCUUCUUCAAGAAAUAAAUAUUGAAAUAACACAUGCCCUUUUUUCACAUUGCAAUCAGAAUCAUUGACCUAAUAUUAUACAUCACAUUUCAGUUAGUUUGAUCCAGAAGGUAGAUUCCAAACUAAGCCAAGAAGCAUAUAAAAUAUGAUUUAAACACAUUAUGCGGUUAUUGGCUUUCACUCCAAAGGAUGAUGAAAACAACUAUAGUUUCUUCCUAUUUUUGGUAAAUUUAGGUUCUCAAGCUUCACGAAAAAAUAACAAAUGAACCAUCCCUUCACCUAGUUAACUCAGAACAUUGUCAGAACUCAAAACUAGUAUAAAAUAAACAUAGGAGAGAGGUUAACUAACACCAACAGGCAACACGUCGACAACCUCGUAUACAUAACCUACACGCCAUCGACAGAGGACUUAGCUCAACGUGUAAAUGUAAAUGGGGGGAGAGAGGGCAACACAAGGGAUUAGGACGAACAUGUUACAAGCAAUCUGAGUUCACAUGUGUGCUUGCAUCGAUGAACUACCCGUAGCUUCCUAGCAAUGCAAUCAGACAAGCAAGCAUCAGAAAUCAGAACUACAACCUCCAUCCUAACUCGGAACAUAUUCAGAACUCACAACCAAAGCAUGGGCCACAGGUUAACACCAACAUGCCCCACGCUAACAAGCUGAAGCUUGGAUAUACAACAACCUACACACCAUUGACAGACUUGACUUAGCAUGUGAUAAUUGUAAUUGUGGACAGGUAGGGAAACACAAGGCAGGUAGUAGGAUGAAGAGGUUACGAGCAUCCGCUAUUGACUAGAUCAUCGUCCACUACUUCGCUAGUGAUAGAAGUCAACACGAGACAAAAUUUGAACCAGAGCAAUCUAGCAUCCCACGAAGGGGUGUGUAGCCGGGACACGACAAUAGUAGGAGACAGUAGGGAGAAGGGGAAAGGAGGGGAGAAGGGGAGGCUUACCCGCCUACAGCGAUCCGAUGCGAGGGGACAGGACAACCAUGACAAAGGAGUGGCCGGCGACGAGGGAUCCACAAGGCAGAGGGCGCAAGACGGAGGGGUGCUGGCAUGGCGUGGUGGAGGAGGAGGAGUGGGGAAGGAAGGAAGGGAGGGAGAGAUGGAGGGCGGCGGUGGGGUGCAGAGAUGGGGGAAGGUAGUGAGGAGGUGAGACAGUGAGGGAAUGGAGGGAGGAGCUGACAAUGGUUGGGGAAGGAGGUGAGGAAGGGAGCGAGGAGUGCGGUGGUGGACAGAGGUGGCGCUGGCGGUUGCGGGGUGGAAGAAAGUGGGGGGAGAUAGGGGGUGGGGGCUAACGGCCCUUAGAUAGGCAAGGGCUUUG